RNAcentral lists this ribosomal RNA (443 nucleotides) under Terrahaemophilus aromaticivorans. RNAcentral describes it as "bacterial SSU rRNA". It matches the Rfam family "Bacterial small subunit ribosomal RNA", at positions 30 to 467 of the family's 1533-position model. The record is from RNAcentral. Lineage: Bacteria; Pseudomonadati; Pseudomonadota; Gammaproteobacteria; Pasteurellales; Pasteurellaceae.
AUUGAACGCUGGCGGCAGGCUUAACACAUGCAAGUCGAACGGUAACAUAAAGAAGCUUGCUUCUUUGAUGACGAGUGGCGGACGGGUGAGUAAUGCUUGGGAAUCUAGCUUAUGGAGGGGGAUAACUACGGGAAACUGUAGCUAAUACCGCGUAGAAUCGGGAGAUGAAAGUGUGGGACCUUCGGGCCACAUGCCAUAGGAUGAGCCCAAGUGGGAUUAGGUAGUUGGUGAGGUAAAGGCUCACCAAGCCGACGAUCUCUAGCUGGUCUGAGAGGAUGACCAGCCACACUGGGACUGAGACACGGCCCAGACUCCUACGGGAGGCAGCAGUGGGGAAUAUUGCGCAAUGGGGGCAACCCUGACGCAGCCAUGCCGCGUGAAUGAAGAAGGCCUUCGGGUUGUAAAGUUCUUUCGGUAGCGAGGAAGGCAUUUAGUUUAAUAAA